RNAcentral lists this transfer RNA (71 nucleotides) under Ailuropoda melanoleuca (giant panda). It matches the Rfam family "tRNA". From Rfam's summary of the family: Transfer RNA (tRNA) molecules are approximately 80 nucleotides in length. The record is from Rfam by way of RNAcentral. Lineage: Eukaryota; Metazoa; Chordata; Mammalia; Carnivora; Ursidae.
GCCUGGCUGGCUCAGUCGGUAGAGCACGGGACUCUUGAUCUCGGGGUCGUGGGUUCAAGCCACGCUGGGCA